Molecule: ribosomal RNA, 334 nt
Filed under: uncultured bacterium
Lineage: Bacteria
Description: bacterial SSU rRNA
Rfam family: Bacterial small subunit ribosomal RNA
Source: RNAcentral
AGGGUUUGAUUAUGGCUCAGGAUGAACGCUAGCUACAGGCUUAACACAUGCAAGUCGAGGGGCAUCAGGAAGAAAGCUUGCUUUCUUUGCUGGCGACCGGCGCACGGGUGAGUAACACGUAUCCAACCUGCCGAUGACUCGGGGAUAGCCUUUCGAAAGAAAGAUUAAUACCCGAUGGUAUAUCUGAAAGGCAUCUUUCAGCUAUUAAAGAAUUUCGGUCAUUGAUGGGGAUGCGUUCCAUUAGGUUGUUGGCGGGGUAACGGCCCACCAAGCCAUCGAUGGAUAGGGGUUCUGAGAGGAAGGUCCCCCACAUUGGAACUGAGACACGGUCCAA